AGUGAACGCUGGCGGUAGGCCUAACACAUGCAAGUCGAACGGCAGCACAGUAAGAGCUCGCUCUUACGGGUGGCGAGUGGCGGACGGGUGAGGAAUACAUCGGAAUCUACUUUUUCGUGGGGGAUAACGUAGGGAAACUUACGCUAAUACCGCAUACGACCUACGGGUGAAAGCAGGGGAUCUUCGGACCUUGCGCGAUUGAAUGAGCCGAUGUCGGAUUAGCUAGUUGGCGGGGUAAAGGCCCACCAAGGCGACGAUCCGUAGCUGGUCUGAGAGGAUGAUCAGCCACACUGGAACUGAGACACGGUCCAGACUCCUACGGGAGGCAGCAGUGGGGAAUAUUGGACAAUUGGCGCAAGCCUGAUCCAGCCAUACCGCGUGGGUGAAGAAGGCCUUCGGGUUGUAAAGCCCUUUGUUGGGAAAGAAAAGCAGCAGGUUAAUACCCCGCUGUUCUGACGGUACCCAAAGAAUAAGCACCGGCUAACUUCGUG
RNAcentral lists this ribosomal RNA (491 nucleotides) under uncultured bacterium. RNAcentral describes it as "partial 16S ribosomal RNA". It matches the Rfam family "Bacterial small subunit ribosomal RNA", at positions 29 to 507 of the family's 1533-position model. The record is from RNAcentral.